This 252-nucleotide ribosomal RNA is filed under the name uncultured bacterium. Its description in RNAcentral is "partial 16S ribosomal RNA". It matches the Rfam family "Bacterial small subunit ribosomal RNA", at positions 524 to 776 of the family's 1533-position model. The record is from RNAcentral.
UACGGAGGAUGCGAGCGUUAUCCGGAUUUAUUGGGUUUAAAGGGUGCGUAGGCGGACGCUUAAGUCAGCAGUAAAAUUGCGGGGCUCAACCUCGUCGAGCCGUUGAAACUGGGUGCCUUGAGUGGGCGAGAAGUACGCGGAAUGCGUGGUGUAGCGGUGAAAUGCAUAGAUAUCACGCAGAACUCCGAUUGCGAAGGCAGCGUACCGGCGCCCUACUGACGCUGAAGCACGAAGGCGUGGGUAUCGAACAGG